CAGCAGUGGGGAAUAUUGCACAAUGGGCGCAAGCCUGAUGCAGCCAUGCCGCGUGUGUGAAGAAGGCCUUCGGGUUGUAAAGCACUUUUCAGCAGUGAGGAAGGCGGAGUCGUUAAUAGCGGCCUCGUUUGACGUUAGCUGCAGAAGAAGCACCGGCUAACUCCGUGCCAGCAGCCGCGGUAAUACGGAGGGUGCGAGCGUUAAUCGGAAUUACUGGGCGUUAAAGCGCAUGCAGGUGGUUUGUUAAGUCAGAUGUGAAAGCCCGGGGCUCAACCUCGGAAUUAGCAUUUGAAACUGGCAGACUAGAGUACUGUAGAGGGGGUAGAAUUUCAGGUGUAGCGGUGAAAUGCGUAGAGAUCUGAAGGAAUACCGGUGGCGAAGGCGGCCCCCUGGACAGAUACUGACGCUCAGAUGCGAAAGCGUGGGGAGCAAACAGGAUUAGAUACCCUGGUAG
RNAcentral lists this ribosomal RNA (454 nucleotides) under uncultured bacterium. Its description in RNAcentral is "bacterial SSU rRNA". It matches the Rfam family "Bacterial small subunit ribosomal RNA", at positions 349 to 793 of the family's 1533-position model. The record is from RNAcentral.